CGGCCAGUUCGGCUGGGACGGCGGAGCCGGCACCUCGACGGUGUCACCCUCGGUUGGGGGCGGCCGAGUCGGGUUCGCCCCCGGUUGGCGGUC
Molecule: transfer RNA, 93 nt
Filed under: Sinosporangium siamense
Lineage: Bacteria; Bacillati; Actinomycetota; Actinomycetes; Streptosporangiales; Streptosporangiaceae
Description: tRNA-Ser
Source: RNAcentral